Molecule: ribosomal RNA, 427 nt
Filed under: uncultured bacterium
Lineage: Bacteria
Description: bacterial SSU rRNA
Rfam family: Bacterial small subunit ribosomal RNA
Source: RNAcentral
UGGGGAAUUUUGGACAAUGGGCGAAAGCCUGAUCCGGCCAUGCCGCGUGAGUGAAGAAGGCCUUCGGGUUGUAAAGCUCUUUUAGUCGGAAAGAAAGAGUUGCAAUGAAUAAUUGUGAUUUAUGACGGUACCGACAGAAUAAGCACCGGCUAACUCCGUGCCAGCAGCCGCGGUAAUACGGAGGGUGCGAGCGUUAUCCGGAUUUAUUGGGUUUAAAGGGUGCGUAGGUGGGCUUAUAAGUCAGUGGUGAAAUCUCCGAGCUUAACUUGGAAACUGCCGUUGAUACUAUAGGUCUUGAAUUAUCUGGAGGUAAGCGGAAUAUGUCAUGUAGCGGUGAAAUGCUUAGAUAUGACAUAGAACACCGAUUGCGAAGGCAGCUUACUACAUAUAAAUUGACGCUGAGGCACGAAAGCGUGAGGAUCAAACA